This 466-nucleotide ribosomal RNA is filed under the name uncultured bacterium. RNAcentral's name for it is "partial 16S ribosomal RNA". It matches the Rfam family "Bacterial small subunit ribosomal RNA", at positions 28 to 507 of the family's 1533-position model. The record is from RNAcentral.
GACGAACGCUGGCGGCGUGCUUAACACAUGCAAGUCGAACGGAAAGGCCUCUUUCGGGGGGUACUCGAGUGGCGAACGGGUGAGUAAAACGUGAGUAACAUGCCCCUGACUUUGGGAUAACUUCACGAAAAUGGGGCUAAUACCGGAUAGGAGCUCCUGCUGCAUGGUGGGGGUUGGAGAGUUUGGGCGGUGGUGGGUGGCGUCGGGGCUUAUCAGCUUGUUGGUGGGGGGGUGGUGCACCAGGGCUUUGACGGGGGGCGGGCCUGAGGGGGUGACGGGCACAAUGGGACUUGAGAAAGGGCCAAGCUCCUUCCGGGGGCCACAGGGGGGAAUAUUUGAAAAUGGGUGGAAGCCUGAUGCAGCAACGCCGUGGUCGGGAUGACGGCCUUCGGGUUGUAAACCGCUUUCGCUCAGGACGAAGGUGUGUGUGACGGUAGUGGGUAAAGAAGCACCGGCUAACUACGUG